RNAcentral lists this ribosomal RNA (109 nucleotides) under uncultured bacterium. RNAcentral describes it as "partial 16S ribosomal RNA". It matches the Rfam family "Bacterial small subunit ribosomal RNA", at positions 1365 to 1482 of the family's 1533-position model. The record is from RNAcentral.
AAUACGUUCCCGGGCCUUGUACACACCGCCCGUCAAGCCAUGGAAGCUGGGGGUGCCUGAAGUGCGUAACCGCAAGGAGCGUCCUAGGGUAAAACUGGUAACUGGGGCU